Molecule: ribosomal RNA, 255 nt
Filed under: uncultured bacterium
Lineage: Bacteria
Description: partial 16S ribosomal RNA
Rfam family: Bacterial small subunit ribosomal RNA
Source: RNAcentral
UACGUAGGGUGCGAGCGUUAAUCGGAAUUACUGGGCGUAAAGCGUGCGCAGGCGGUUAUGCAAGACAGAUGUGAAAUCCCCGGGCUCAACCUGGGAACUGCAUUUGUGACUGCAUAGCUAGAGUACGGUAGAGGGGGAUGGAAUUCCGCGUGUAGCAGUGAAAUGCGUAGAUAUGCGGAGGAACACCGAUGGCGAAGGCAAUCCCCUGGACCUGUACUGACGCUCAUGCACGAAAGCGUGGGGAGCAAACAGGAU